GCCCGAGCGGCCGCUGCCUGUAGCGGAGGGUCCCGGGCAGCCCGGGGUUGAGGCUGCGUGCGGCCCGGCCCACGCCGCCUGGAUGGGUCCUGCUCGGCUGCCCGGGCCGCGGCAGCCUCUUCCCCUUCCCAGAGCGUGUUUCCGAGCACACGCACGGCUUGGCGGCCGGUUCUCUUCCGGUAACAGUGCUAAGAGCCCAGACGACCGAAUCCAGCCACAAGGAAAUCCUGUGCCCAGCCAUGUGCUGUGUGGUGUCCACAUAAUUAGGAGAUGAGGUCCCUGGCCUCAGAAUUUGCCACCUUGUUUUGGGACUAAGACCCACCCAGACGGAACUAGCAAUACCAGACAACAUAAAAUUAAACCGACUUCCAGAGGCAGGCGUUCUAUGCAAAAUCCUCGUAAAACACCAUUCAAAGCUCUGAUAUGUAGACAUUUCUUAAUGGAGGGACACCUGCGCUUCACCGUGGGACCGUGCCGGAGAGAGCGAAUGGAAUCAAGUCUGGGGGUCAGAACAGAGACUUCUGUAGCCCACAGGUGGCCGUGUGAUGUGUGUGCCUUUAUCAGUGACACGGAUAGAAGGGAAUACACAGAAUAAACUGGAGCAACAUUGGAGGAAAGCCUCAGAAAGAUUUUUUUCAAAGCAGUCAGGAGGCCGGAGGGCUAAUGUUGACUCUGCUCUUCACCGAUUAGCUGCAUGACCUCAGGCCUCAGUUUCUUUCUCUGUGCUAUGACAGUGUGGGCCACAAACGGUCCUGUUAGCUCUCAGAAGGAGGAAGGAGAAGGGUGGUGGCUAACGAGAGGCUGCAUGUGGAGCACCUCACACCGAGUCGUGGUUCAGCCAUUACCCGGGGAGGCUUUUGGCAUGUGGAAUCCGCAAAUGCCACUUUGACAUGGCUUUUGGACAGAUGUUGCCCCCUGCCUUCCACGGUACCUACCAAGGGCACUUGGACCUCUGACCAGGUUGUGAGGACAAGGUCCCCUGAGCCAUCUGUGCCCCUGUGAGGGUGGCAAGAGUUUUCAAGAAGACGUAUCCAAGAAGAAAGUUCUCUAGCUGCAUAGAAGGUGUCAAAGCCACAGGCUCUGGGAAGAUUGCUAGAGAGAACUUACUGGAACACUGAACAUAGUUCUCCCAAGUGUCAUCUGUAAGGCAGGCAUUUUUUUUUUUUUUUUUUUAGAAUGCUGAUUCUAGGGACGCCUGGGUGGCUCAGCAGUUGAACAUCUGUCUUCAGCUCAGGUUGUGACCCUGGG
Long non-coding RNA from Canis lupus familiaris (dog), 1248 nucleotides. RefSeq lists it as uncharacterized. NCBI's taxonomy places the organism in Eukaryota, Metazoa, Chordata, Mammalia, Carnivora, Canidae. The record is from RefSeq and is a predicted model, not a curated record. The transcript has 4 exons.